Molecule: non-coding RNA, 8749 nt
Organism: Vicugna pacos (alpaca)
Lineage: Eukaryota; Metazoa; Chordata; Mammalia; Artiodactyla; Camelidae
Source: RefSeq, a predicted model, not a curated record
CAUACACACUUGGGAGAGACUCUGCAGCACAUCCUUGGCUGAGCAGAUCAGAGGUUCCACUUCCCACCCUUGGAAACUUCAUGAGGGGAAGAUGUUCAAACAUCCCUUCAGUCCAGUAAGUCCUCUUAGAGAACCGUGGUUGUAAUAGAUCUACAGAAAGAGAUGGAUGAUUCAAAAGCAGUCUCUUCAAAGUAAGACAUCAGUCUUCUCUUGGGGCCUAGAGUACCAAAUCACAUCAGGACAACACAAGGAGAGUCCUUGGCUCCUUUAGAUUGUAAGCAGAUGUGUUAUCUGGUGCCUCCUGCUUGAGGAAAUGCAAUGUUUGCAAUCUUCACAUGCUCACGUCAUCACAGAAGUAUACUCAAGAGACAUCCCCAAAGGCAGUAGUUUUCUCACUUCCGUUGUUGGCAUUCCUACUUUCCUGCUUCCCACCUUCUGUGUUGUUCUCGUCCAGGAGUGACUUUGCCUCCACAGAUCUGACCUUUGUUGCUUCCUGAGGCCAUUCUCACAGAGCUCUAACUUUCUGCGUGGUUUUCUACCAACUGGAGUUGACCUAGUGAUGUCCGGCAAUAACAGUGUACAGUGCUCUUCCCAGAUGGCAUUUAUUCUUUAAAAACUUUUGUUGAUGUUCACAAGGUGAAGAAAUGACGACUGUGGGCCACACCAAGUAGGAGGUUAGGCCCAUAGUAGGCCCCACACAAAUCGUGUCAUGGGUUCUCAUUCCUACAAAGAUUCCUGGAUUCUAAAGCUCUUUUUUUUUCAAAAGAUGGUCCCUGUGUGCUAUUCCUCCUUUCAAUCCAAUUCAGCAAAAGUCUUGCAAGUGGUCACAGAACCACGUGCUUAACACAUCACCGAGCCAGGGGCUGUGGAGGGAUUAAAGAAGCGUGCCUCGGCCGAGGCACCCGCUGGUGCAGGUGAGACUCCACUACACGUGACACAGCCACAACGCAGCAGGAUCAAACUCGUAAUUGGGCAGUAAACUCUGGGGCAGAGCUGACAAUACUGCACACGUUCAAAGAGGGAUAAAUCAUUGUGAAUGGCUAUUCUGGAGGACUGAGUGGGUUCAGAGUGAGCAGGCAGAAGGGGAACGCCAUUCAGGGUAUGGAAAAUGUGCUGGGAUGUUGGAGGCAUCAGAGCUAACCUAAAGGUGAUGCUCUGAGCUAUCUCUAAGUACCGAGUAAAAGGCUGCCUCUUUUGCAUUUUGUUCUGCAUCCUUGGAUGACCCCUAAGGGAAAGGUGAGACAAGAUGCCAUUUGCUCAUGAGCAGGCCGUCAGCAGUCAGUGCUGGUCAUCUCAAAGCCUGGUUCUCCAGGCACAGCAUGAGCAAAUGUCUGUCAGAAACUUGGGAAGUGAAAUAUCUCCAAAUGAUCAAGUGCCCAAAGUCAAGGUUCAGUCCUGGGUAGACCAGUCAGCUCUGCCUGUUUCACGACAUCAGUCUGCGGCACUAACCUCAGGCCACCUGUUCUAUGUUAGUCAUAAGCCUGAACAAGAGCAUAAAUGGAUUAUGACGAAUCUGCUACCACCAUUAAAAAAUCCACAGUUCAAUACUGGCUGUGUUUCCUGAUGUUGUGUUGGCAAUCUCAAAGCUUUUUUUCUUUUUUGUCAGUUUGUUUUUGUUUUUAUAGAGCACAUCAUUAAAAUAUACUCACAACAGCAGAAGAGCGUAGUGGCUGUGUGUAGGCAAGAGGCAAACUGCCUGGGUUAAAAAUCCCAGCUCUUCUCUUAGCUGCAUGACUUUUGGACAAGCUCCUUGAUGUCAUUGUGCCUCGGGUUUUUUUUUUUUUAAUUUGAAAAAUGAAGAUGAUGAUGGUAAUAUUUCUGUAAGAUUAUUUUGAGGAAUAAAUGAGAAACUAUAUGUAAAAGGAAUAGAAGAAUGCCUUGGUGUAUAUAUAUAUGGGGCAUGCAAUAAAUGCCAGGUCAUCACUGUGAUGAUGGUCAUUAUUCACCCUGAAUGGACCUUAGAGGGCGUCAAGUUACAUAAUGCAAUUUUACAAAUAAAGAAACUCGGUUCUCAAGAGGUCAAGUAACUUUCUGACAAUCAUUGGUAAAAUGGGUGCUAGAACCCUUGGCUCCCCACUCGUAAAAAAUACAAUGUGCAUUUAUGUGUUAUCUGACUCACGGACAGAGCACACUGACACACAUUGUUCCCCAAACGCUCCCUGUUACCCCACGUGGCCUAUCCAAACUGAAUGGCUCGAACAUUUUUCAGGCACCCGAGGAUGCAAGCUGCACAGGGAACGAUUCUCGGGCACAGGCUUAGGGUUGUAGGAGCUGGAUUCAUCAGCCUGAAGUCCACAAGGCAGGCAGUCAGGAAGGAAAAGGAGAGCAAGUGUAGCUCCAGCUGCUUCUUCACACCAGUGAGGUGGGUCACUAGAUGGGCAGCAAUGAGGUAGUACCCACAGACGGCCGCCAUCAGAGAUCAUGGCAGAGAUGGGGAUUAUCUUUAAAGUAAGAAGGAAGCUUUUCUUUCCUUGAAUGAUGAAUCUUUUAAUGCCUCAGAAUCAUGGAUCAGACAGUUGGGAGGUGCCUCACAAGACCCAGUCCUCGAAGAGACUUAAUCAAAUGGUGGCCCCAGGUGCAGCUGCUGUGCCAGAUGUGGUUUUACUGAAGCAUGCAUGCCUCCAGUACGUGUUAUGUGGCCAUUGAUCUGGUGAGUACAUUCUUUUCCAUCCCUAUAGGAAAAGAGGAUCAGAUGCAGUUUAUAUUUUUGUGAGGUGGACAAGGGUAUACAAUUAUGGUCUUGUCUCAGGUUAUGUUAACACUUUGACCCUCAGGUAUAAUAUUGCUAGAAGGCAGGUGAAGUGUCUGACAUCCCACAGGACAUCGCACUGGCCCACUAUAUUGACAAUGUUAUGCUAAUUGGACCAGAUAAGCAAGAAGUACCAGCUGUGUUGAAAGCCUUGGCAAAACAGAUGCGCUCCAGAGGGUGGAGAUGAACGCUUCAGAACCCCAGCACAUUACUGAACUGUUUAGGGAUCCAAAGUUCUGAAGAAAGCUCGACCUUUUCAGGUUCUAGAGGGACCAUAUUCUGUACCUGGCAACACUGCUCUGACCCAUGUAUUGGGGAAUAUUAAAGGUUGUGAACUUUGAGUAGUGUCUCAAGCAGGAAAGCUCAGCGGAAGGACUAGGCUGCAGUAAAGUGGUCUUGACAUUUGAACCAUAUGACCAGGAGACACUAUAGGGCUGAUAGUAUCUGUGUGAAUAGAGUUUAUGGAAAGCCCCAAUGGAAGAAUUGCAAUGUAGACCUAUGGGGUUCUGAGUAAGGUCCCUGCCAUCUGCAACAGAGGACUAUCACCAUCAGGACUCAGUGACUGACGUGCUAGUCGGCCUGGUAAGUACAGAGCUUCUGACUAUGAGAGACCAAGGACGUUGUGGCCGCAGUAUCCAUCGUGAGCUGCGUUCAGUCAAAGCCACCAAGUCGUAAGGUGAGGCUUUCCAGCAGCAAUCCAUUCUAAGAUGGAUAUAGUGCAUCCAAGAUGGGAACAAGCAGGGCUAGAGAGCUAACAAGCUAACCAAGCAGGUGGCCCAGAGCCAAAUGCCAUCCAUCAGAGUUGUGUCAGUGUAUCUCCCACAGCUCACAUCCGUAGCCUAACGGGAGGCCUUUAUAACCAGAUAACAGGGAAGUAGAAAGGCCAAGCUUUAUUUAUAGGGUGGCAACAAUGGGCAGUGUUGAGGGGACAUCCUCUAGGUGGGAAGAAUUGUGAUAUUAGGUGCCAUUGCUCAGUAACUAUGUGUAGAAAGAGAAGUGGCCUGAGGGCAGAGUAAGAGAAACUCAUGGGCAGUAGUGAGUGGCAUGGUUGGUUGGUCCAGGGUCUGGAAGGAGAAAGAUUGGGAAGUCAGAGACAAAGAGGUCUGGGAAAAGGCAUAUUGGAUAAUCUACGGAAGUGGUCGGGAAGUGUGAAGGUUUUUGAACUGCAUGUUAAUGCUCAGCAGAGAACUUCUGCUGUGGAAGAGAUACUGAACAAUGAGACAGCAUGACUUGGUCAGCUGGUGAAAGCCAUUGGACACUCUGGUGCUGGCACAAUGGAUGCGUGAACCAGACAGUCACGGCAACAGGCGUGAAUGCUAAGCAUGGGUUUCCAUUCUUAAGGCUGAUCCAGUUACUGCUUCUGCUGAAUGGGCCUUGGAGACAGCUGAGAGCUUUGGAGAUGAGCUAAGAACUUUGAACAAACAGUCUAGAUUAUCGAUUAUUCUCACAUUUAUAGUGUGUUAGCUUUUGGAUACCUUUGUGUGCCCACAAAUAGUGCUGUGAGUGAUAUAUUUCUCUGUAAGCCAAUCUGACUCUGCAGUAAAACAGUUUUCUCAAGUGCUCCCGGUAAGAUCAUAAAGAAAGCCUUUUGCCUUCGUAGGAAGCAGCAAACGCAAGACUGUGUCUUGACAGCAAGAGCAAGAAUGCACCGGCUAAAGAAGAGUCAUUAAGAAUAAAGGCUGUACUAAAACUACACUUGAAGAUGUUACACCCUUGUAAAUAAAAAAAUUCUAAGGAAUCCACCAAAAAAUUUUAGAGCUUAUUCAGCAAGGUUGCAGGAGACAAGAUGAAUAUAUGAAAAUCAAUUGUAGUUCUAUACACAAAUAAUGAACAAUCCAAAACUGAAAUUAAGGAAACAAUUUCAUUUAUAAUAGCAUCCAAAAAUAAAAUACUUAGGAAUAAAUCUAGCAGAAGAAGUGUAAGACUUUUAAGGCCAAAAACUCCAAAAUACCAUCAAAAGAAAUUAACGAUUUAAAUGGAAAUGCGUUCCAUGUUUGUAGAUCAGAAGACUUAAUAUUAAGGUGGCAAUAACUCCCCAAAUUGAUUUACAGAUUCGACACAAUCCCCAUUCAAUUCCAGCUGCAUUUUUUUUGCAGAAAAUGACAAGUUGAACCUCAAAAACCCCAGAAUAGUCAUAACAUCUUGACAAAGAAAAAGUUGGAGGACACACGUUUCCUGACUCCCAAAUUUACCACAAGGCUACAGAUACUACAAAUAAACACCAGCAUGAAGAUAGACAUACAGACCAGUCAAAUAGAAUUGAGGGUUUAGAAAUCAAGCCAUACUUUUAUGGUCAGUCCAUUUUUAACAUGCGUGCCAAGACAAAUCCAUGGGGGAAGAAACAUCUUUUCAACAAGUGGUGGGACAACUGGAUAUCCACAUACAAAAGAAUAAAGUUGGACCCCUAUCUCACACUAUAUAUGAAAAUUAACUCAAAAUGGAUCAGAGGUCUAAAUGUAAUAGCUAAAAUUAUAAGACACUUAGAAGAAAACACAGGCAUCAAUCUAGGUGACCUUAGGUUAGGCAGUGGAUUUUUAGGUAGCAACAAAACAGCAAAAGAAAAAAGAUAAAUUGGACUUCAUCAAAAUUUUAAACUUUGUGCUUCAAAAGAUACUAUCAAGAAAGUGAAAAGAAAAUCAUACAUAUUGUAUGAUUCCAUUUAUAUGUAAUGUUCAGAAUAGGCAAAUCCAUAGAAACUUAAAAGAGAUUAGUGGUUGCCAAGGGCUGGGGGUCAGGGAGGAAUGGAGAGUGACUACUAAUGGAUACAGGAUUUCUUUCUUGGGUCACGUAAAUGUUCUGGCAUUGGAGAGCAAUGAUCGAUGCACAACUUUUGGAAUAAGAACUAUUGUACUGUACACUUUAGAGGGGUGAACUUUAUGGCAUGCGAAUUAUAUCUCACUAAAGCUGUUAUUUUCCAAAGAAGGAAGAGCAGGAGGAUGGACGUGGAAUGUGAACAUUAGGCUGAUUCGCAACUGAGUCUAUGAAUAUGCGUCUAGACUUCUGCUGCUCCCACUUCUUAGAACGCUUCCCCACCUUUCUGCCUAUCCAUGUCUUCUACUUCUAAUGUAAACUCUGCCUGGCUCAUGACUGUAUCUAAAAGCAUUACGGUAGUACUAUGCCCUGGUUGCCCAUCAAGGAAUUCAGCUAGGAAUCGACUGCAGUCGGUACUUGCUAGAAGUGCACGUAAGAGGUGCUAUUUGAAAGAGACAGUCUAAUGGGCAUGUUAACCAGCCAUUCUCUCUGCUGCUCCAAGCUGUCACUGUAAUAAAUUAUAUCAUCAGAAACAACCUGGGUACCUGGGCCACAUGACCUAACCCAGGCACAGGCGUUUUGGUGAUGAGCCAUAUUACGAUAUUCUCUGCUUUUCUUUUUCUUUUUUUAGAGGAUCUAUAUAAGAAAUAUCUGUGUGAAUGGCUUAUCUAUGUCUGCCACAAACCUACAAUUGAAAACCUUUUGUAUUAGAUUACCUAAUGACCCUUAGGUAAGGGCCUGGAUGAUACAUUUCUCUGUUUCCAGGAAGAAGUUUGCUUCUGCAGGCGAGUGGUAUAAAUAUUUCUUUUUCCUUUCCUUCGCUUCUCUUCUAAAUAUAGGAACUACUGAAUGCGAUAAAAAUAACCCCCACUUACUGAUCAUGUACUGUGAGCCUACCCCUGCCCGUUACAUGCUAUGCUUUAUUUGACCAUCACAGCAUCCUAUGACAGCCACACAGGUAUUGCUCCUUUUUCACAGAUGUGCAAACUGAAAGGGAUUAAAUGACACAUCCCGCCUCUAACAAUUGUUAAGUGACAGAGGUGGGGAUUUGAAGCCAAGCAGCCUGACACCAGAAAGCAUGCUAAGUCCAGCUUCUGUUUCACUUAGCUGUAUAGCCGCCCCCAAGUUUCAUAAUAUAAGUCAUCUGCAAAGGUUUUUGAAUAAGGGAGUCUACAUACUAAAUACAUGUUUGUUUAAUUCCCCGUGUCUCCUCUCUGAAAACUCUCAACAAAUAACGUUGAUUCAUUCCUCCAAGUUUGUGAUCCUUGGAAGAAUGACCCUACAUAAAUUCUGGUGGCUGUUUUUAUUAAUGAUGCAAAGGUAGUCAUCGCACAGGCUGCAGGAGAGGGGGACAGAACUGAAAACAGAAGUAAUUCAUUUUUUUUUCUUAGAUUAGGUACCCAGAGGUGGUAUGGCACCUUAGCAGUCUAAAGUCAGGGGCCUCUGGGUGCUUGGACCUUGCUGCUGUGAAUUUAAUCAUCUCAUCUGAUGUAUGUUUCUGUAGAGUGACAGAAACUCCCGGUCCCACUUCGGAACAGAUUUACUCUGAUCGGCUUGCGGGGAAAAUAUCUUUACUCAACCAGCAUGAUUCAGCUGGUCUGUGGGGCUGCUUGUCUGUAAACACAUUCCCAGGCAAGCUAGCUCAGCCCACAGAAUUUUGAUUUGGUUGUUUCCUUUCUUUUUCCUCUGAUCUCUCCUUUCUCUUCUUAGACUACUGGUACAGAUGGGCCAGGCAUCUGCCUCCCAGCUGGUUGAGAGGUUAAAGGCUAGCGGAGGGCCAAGAUUUUCUUAAGUGAGGUCUUCACCUCCUGGCCAGACAUCAUCAACCUUUGGCUUCUUUAGCCCCUGUACUUCCCAGGAGGCUUCUGAUUUUAGCAUCCUGAGCACUGCAGGAAGAUGACAGGCAUCCUAUCCAAGGACCAUGCUCCUCCAAGGAUGGUCUUCAGGCCAGCAGCAGAAGCAUCACCUGGGAGCUUCUGACAAGUGCAGAAUUGAGGCGCACCCAGACCUGCUGAAAUCAACUCUGCAGAAGCCAAGUCUCUGGUCUGCUGUUUUGAUCCAAGCUCUUGUACACCAGAUACUCCAUCACUGUCUUGGAACAGAGGAGUCAGGUAUCCAUCACAGAUGAGGAGCUUGAUAUAAACCCUGCAAAGGAAGCAGUCGCUGAACCAGAAAUAGGCAGCCAGUACCUGCGUUCAUCCCGAGAUCAUCCCGUCACUCCGGAUUUCCACACAAAAAGCCUUCUGGGAAAUCGUAAAGAAAGAAAUGCCUGAGGCUGCGUACCUACCACGGAUUUCAGGGUGAGCAGCAUGCGUUUCCUCCAGGAUGGGUCGAACCAGCUGCCCAGGCGCAUGUCGUUGCUGAUGAAGAUGGAGUGCACCUCGAUGCGGCUGUCCCGCUUCUGCAGCAGAGGUGGCGUCCCUGCAAGCACCCUGAGAGCGCAGACACGGCAUUCUUCACCAAUAUAAUCUCAGAAACUAGCGCUGUUCCUGGUGCCUGGGGGAAUAUCUGGGUCGGCCGACUGCUCACCUGACUCCUCAAACUGCCGGCUGUGCGUCGCCCAGGAGUCCUGGAUCUGCAGCAGGCUGUCCUCCAUGGCCUGGAUGUCGGCGUCGGGACAGUUGCACUGCGGGAAGGUGGGGCUGCACUCGCACCAGCAGUCAUUCUCCCUGCAGACGAGCUCGCCCUCGGAGCUGCACGUGAUGUAGCUGAGCGCCGCGGCCACGAAGCGCUCCCGCAGGUAUGAAAAGCAUGAAAAUCAUCACAGCAAAACUCACCAAGUAACUGCACUUUGUUCUCCGGACUCUGGACCAGGACAGAGCUGACCGAGUCCAGCUCCAGGCACCUCUGCUCCGCAGCAAGCACACGCUCCCCAGUGUUCCAUCCCUUUCUGUGAGUAUCUGGUUCAAGCCUGGGUCCUCCGCACCCUAAGGGCUCCACAGAGGUAAACUGGCCAUCACACCAUCACCACACCGUUCUGCACUGGCUUUUCUAUCCACCCCUCCUGAGUUGGUGACUCCCAGCAUCAGGUCCAGGCAGGGAGAAAGCUACGUGCCUUAUGCAGAAGCAGGGCCACUUCCAAGGGGGCCCUCUCCGCCCUUAUCCAACCACUGUCCCUACCGAGCGACCACUGAGCCAUCUGCUUCCCCCACCACCACCAUCUUGUUCAGCAACAGGUACAGGGUGAGCUGACUAACCAGAAGAAGUACCAACCGCGGUGCCAAAGCCGGGUCCUGACGGCCUCGCGAG